This is an RNA transcript of Macaca mulatta (Rhesus monkey), 3517 nucleotides long. It is a transcript of the gene named lysophosphatidic acid receptor 1 pseudogene, with no coding region annotated. The record is from RefSeq and is a predicted model, not a curated record. NCBI's taxonomy places the organism in Eukaryota, Metazoa, Chordata, Mammalia, Primates, Cercopithecidae.
GGCCACCCCCUAGCCCCGGCCCUGCAGCCAGCGAGGGCUGUCGAGCCAAUGAAUGGAGGAAGGGGCGCAGAAGUCAGGGGCGCUGGGGGCGCCACGCCAGGUGGACAUCUGAUUUAUGAAGCUCCCCAUCCACCUGUCUGAGUACCUGACUUCUCAGGACUGACUCCUACAGCAUCAGAUACACAGCUUCUCCUAGCAUGACCUUGAUCUGAUCAGCAAACAAGAACAUUUGUCUCCCGUAGUUCUGGGGCCUAUUCACCAUCUACAACCACAGAGCUGUCAUGGCUGCCAUCUCUACUUCCAUCCCUGUAAUUUCACAGCCCCAGUUCACAGCCAUGAAUGAACCACAGUGCUUCUACAACGAAUCCAUUGCCUUCUUUUAUAACCGAAGUGGAAAGCAUCUUGCCACAGAAUGGAACACAGUCAGCAAGCUGGUGAUGGGACUUGGAAUCACUGUUUGUAUCUUCAUCAUGUUGGCCAACCUACUGGUCAUGGUGGCAAUCUAUGUCAACCGCCGCUUCCAUUUUCCUAUUUAUUACCUAAUGGCUAAUCUGGCUGCUGCAGACUUCUUUGCUGGGUUGGCCUACUUCUAUCUCAUGUUCAAGACAGGGCCCAAUACUCGGAGGCUGACUGUUAGCACAUGGCUCCUUCGUCAGGGCCUCAUUGACACCAGCCUGACGGCAUCUGUGGCCAACUUACUGGCUAUUGCAAUCGAGAGGCACAUUACGGUUUUCCGCAUGCAGCUCCACACACGGAUGAGCAACCUGCGGGUAGUGGUGGUCAUUGUGGUCAUCUGGACUAUGGCCAUCGUUAUGGGUGCUAUACCCAGUGUGGGCUGGAACUGUAUCUGUGAUAUUGAAAAUUGUUCCAACAUGGCACCCCUGUACAGCGACUCUUACUUAGUCUUCUGGGCCAUUUUCAACUUGGUGACCUUUGUGGUAAUGGUGGUUCUCUAUGCUCACAUCUUUGGCUAUGUUCGCCAGAGGACUAUGAGAAUGUCUCGGCAUAGUUCUGGACCCCGGCGGAAUCGGGAUACCAUGAUGAGUCUUCUGAAGACUGUGGUCAUUGUGCUUGGGGCCUUUAUCAUCUGCUGGACUCCUGGAUUGGUUUUGUUACUUCUAGACGUGUGUUGUCCGCAGUGCGACGUGCUGGCCUAUGAGAAAUUCUUCCUUCUCCUUGCUGAAUUCAACUCUGCCAUGAACCCCAUCAUUUACUCCUACUGCGACAAAGAAAUGAGCGCCACCUUUAGGCAGAUCCUCUGCUGCCAACGCAGUGAGAACCCCAGCGGCCCCACAGAAGGCUCAGACCGCUCGGCUUCCUCCCUCAACCACACCAUCUUGGCUGGAGUUCACAGCAAUGACCACUCUGUGGUUUAGAACGGAAACUGAGAUGAGGAACCAGCCGUCCUCUCUUGGAGGAUAAACAGUCUCCCCCUACCCAAUUGCCAGGGCAAGGUGGGGUGUGAGAGAGGAGAAGUGUCAACUCAUGUACUUAAACACUAACCAAUGACAGUAUUUGUUCCUAGGCCCCACAAGACUUGAUAUAUAUUGAAAAUUAGCUUAUGUGACAACCCUCACCUUGAUCCCCAUCCCUUCUGAAAGUAGGAAGUGGAGCUCUUGCAAUGGAAUUCAAGAACAGACUCUGGAGUGUCCAUUUAGACUACACUAACUAGACUUUAAAAAGAUUUUGUGUGGUUUGGUGCAAGUCAGGAUAAAUUCUGACUAGUUGAAUCCACAGCUUCAUUUAUAUACAGCCUUCCCUUUUUUAUUUUUAAAGGAUACGUUUCACUUAAUAAACAUGUUUAUGCCUAUCAGCAUGUUUGUGAUGGAUGAGACUAUGGACUGUUUUUAAACUACCAUAAUUCCAUUUUUUCCCUUACAUAGGAAAACUGUAAGCUGGAAUUAUCUUUUGUUUAGAAAGCAUGCAUGUAAUGUAUGUAUGCAGUAUGCCUUACUUAAAAAGAUUAAAAGGAUACUAAUUUUAAAUCUUCUAGGAAAUAGAACCUAGACUUCAAAGCCAGUAUUUGUUUAGGUUAUGAAGCAAACAAUGCUCUAAUGACAAUAUUAACUGUUUAAUUAAAAUGUUGUAACAAGUUUAAAACAGGGAAUGUAAAUUUUUGCCAAAGUGAUAUGUAUUCCAAAAAAGUCAUAGAAGAUGAAGCACUGUAAUAUUGUUCCCACAUGUUUAAAAUACCCAAGUACAUUCUAAUUACCAGUGUAUCAGAGGAAAGUUUUUGUAGUCUUUGUAAAAUAAUAUACUCAUCACAGAAAACUUGAAAAAUGCAGAAAUGUAUAAAAAAGCAAAAAUUGUUACUGAUAAUAUCACAACCCAGAAGGAACCACCUUUCAAAAGCAACCCCCAUAUAUGCCUAUGUAUGUAUUGUAUACCUUUUUUACAUAAUUGGAAUCAUACUGUAAACAGUUUUAUAAGUAGAUCUUUUUCAUUGCAAAAUUGCCACAUUUUCUUAUGGUAUUAAAAAUUUUACAAAAACAAUUUUAAUGGCUAUAUUAUAUUCCAUUUAAUGGAUGCAACUCAGUUUAUUUAACCAUUCCCAUGUUGUUAGCUGUUUAGGUUAUUUCUAAUUUUCAUUUUGCAGAAAUUUUGUGUGCAUAAACUUUGUCCAUAUAAUUGAUUAUUAGGACAUAUUCCCAUGAAGGAUUCUUUUUUUCAAAAAAUGUGCAAUGUCAUCUUUUACUUAUACCUUUCAUAAAAAGGGAUUUCCUGCGUUUGCACUGAAUGGGUGGCAGUUGUGAGGAAAAGCCAGUCAAAUGACCUUUUUAGAAAAGAAAUGCAGUGGUCAGUUUAGUUGAGAGUGACUUUUUAAUAUAACAAGAUCAACUAGAAGCAUUCAACUGUCUCAAGAAUCAAGGUAUCCCAAUAUAUCUCGCAAUUCCAAACUUUGUUUGAGUGACUCGUUAUCCAGCUCUUGGUAGCCACACCUGCAAUGUAAAAUUGAAGAAAAUUCAAAGAAACCAAAUGUGCUGAGUGAAUAAAGGAUUGUCAUAUCAAUUAGUUUGGGUCCAUCUGUAGCAAAUGGGUUGAGUGUGUCAGUAUGUGAUUGGUUACUGUGUAUUCUCCAGAAAUCACCCCAAUAGGCUGCUGCCCUAUUAGGUGAUACCUGUUUAAUACGUUGUCCAGGUAGAGUAGUAGUUGCAUCAGUUUGCUGUAACAAGUGACCAGUGAAGUAACACAGUGGUGAAGCAGGUCAGGGCAGGUCAGGAGGAUGUCUGAGAGAAAGAAGUCUGGGAGAUGAAUGACUGUCUAGGAAGGAGGACAUCAGUGCACGGUUACUGUUUGAGCAGAGGGCAGACUUGUAAAGUACCCGUAGUGAAAAGAAUGUGGGGACUCAAUUAGCAGAAAGGUGUUUGCACAUACUUUUUACAAAAUACAGAAUACUUUAUAUUGGAAGUGAAAGAAAUGAACUUGGACUUUUACGCAUGUGCAUAUUUUUCUGGAGGCUGUAUGGAUUAUUUGAAAUGAAAAGCAUACUAAUUGGACUUUAAUAAAUCAUUUUCAA